GCUGGGCAUGGUGGCACGUGCCUGUAAUCCCAGCUACUCAGGAGGCUGAGGCAGGAGAAUCGCUUGAACCCAGGAGGUGGAGUUUGCAGUAGCCGAGAUUGCACCACUGCACUCCAGCCUGGGUGACAAAGUGAGACUCUGUCUCAA
Macaca mulatta (Rhesus monkey) is the source of this 147-nucleotide unclassified non-coding RNA. It matches the Rfam family "Metazoan signal recognition particle RNA". Rfam says of the family: The signal recognition particle (SRP) is a universally conserved ribonucleoprotein. It is involved in the co-translational targeting of proteins to membranes. The record is from Ensembl. NCBI's taxonomy places the organism in Eukaryota, Metazoa, Chordata, Mammalia, Primates, Cercopithecidae.